CAGCAGUAGGGAAUCUUCGGCAAUGGACGGAAGUCUGACCGAGCAACGCCGCGUGAGUGAAGAAGGUUUUUCGGAUCGUAAAGCUCUGUUGUUAGAGAAGAAUGAUGGUGGGAGUGGAAAAUCCACCAUGUGACGGUAACUAACCAGAAAGGGACGGCUAACUACGUGCCAGCAGCCGCGGUAAUACGUAGGUCCCGAGCGUUGUCCGGAUUUAUUGGGCGUAAAGCGAGCGCAGGCGGUUCUUUAAGUCUGAAGUUAAAGGCAGUGGCUCAACCAUUGUACGCUUUGGAAACUGGAGAACUUGAGUGCAGAAGGGGAGAGUGGGAAUUCCAUGUGUAGCGGUGAAAUGCGUAGAUAUAUGGAGGAACACCGGUGGCGAAAGCGGCUCUCUGGUCUGUAACUGACGCUGAGGCCCGAAAGCGUGGGGAGCAAACAGGAUUAGAUACCCUCGGUAG
Molecule: ribosomal RNA, 455 nt
Filed under: uncultured bacterium
Lineage: Bacteria
Description: bacterial SSU rRNA
Rfam family: Bacterial small subunit ribosomal RNA
Source: RNAcentral